This 190-nucleotide long non-coding RNA is filed under the name Monodelphis domestica (gray short-tailed opossum). Its description in RNAcentral is "lncRNA (ENSMODG00000047330.1)". The record is from RNAcentral. Lineage: Eukaryota; Metazoa; Chordata; Mammalia; Didelphimorphia; Didelphidae.
UGUCAUUUUGUGCUUGUGUCAUUUUAGAAUCUGUGGUGAAGGUAAUUCCUGUGAAGGGGCUGGAGAGGAGGUUGAAUUGAAUUUCAAAGAGUAGUAAGUAGAGAAUUAGUCUUGGAGUCAUGAAGACUUGGAUUUAUGUACGGCCUCUAACAUAUACUACAUGACCCUGCAUAGUUUCUUCAACUCAGUG